Molecule: ribosomal RNA, 403 nt
Filed under: uncultured bacterium
Lineage: Bacteria
Description: bacterial SSU rRNA
Rfam family: Bacterial small subunit ribosomal RNA
Source: RNAcentral
AAUCAACGCUGGCGGCGUGCCUCAGACAUGCAAGUCGAACGCGAAAGGUUCCUUCGGGAACCGAGUAGAGUGGCGCACGGGUGAGUAGCACGUAGGUAAUUUGCCUUUGGGUGGGGAAUAACUCAGGGAAACUUGAGCUAAUACCGCAUAAUGCAGCGGCUCGACAUCGAGACAGUUGUUAAAGCGGGGGAUCGCAAGACCUCGCGCCUAAAGAGAAGCCUGCGGCAGAUUAGCUAGUUGGUAGGGUAAUGGCCUACCAAGGCGACGAUCUGUAACCGGCCCGAGAGGGCGGUCGGGUCACACUGACACUGACAUACGGGUCAGACUCCUACGGGAGGCAGCAGUCGGGAAUUUUGGGCAAUGGGCGAAAGCCUGACCCAGCAACGCCGCGUGAAGGAUGAAA